RNAcentral lists this unclassified non-coding RNA (438 nucleotides) under Zea mays. Its description in RNAcentral is "misc RNA Zm00001eb230380". The record is from RNAcentral. Lineage: Eukaryota; Viridiplantae; Streptophyta; Magnoliopsida; Poales; Poaceae.
UUGGUCGAGAACUGUCGUCGCCUCGCUCGCCUGACGGCAGACGUCCCCCCCAUCCGCCCCAGCUCCCCCGUUGCCGAUGCGGGCCUCCUCGUCCUCGCUCCCCUAUCACUUGGCACCUCCAGGGCAUCCCCUUCCCAUGGGGAUGGCGACAGCGUCCCCGCCUGGGAAGGACGAACACACUUCUUUGAGACUUGGCUGCCCCAGGGCAACCUACUCCUUAAGAAUCGCCUGGUGUUCGCCUUCUUGGAUAACCCUGCGGUUAUCCCGGACAUCUCUGCCUUCGUCAGUGCCGCUCUCGGGUCUACGUGCCCCGACAUCCAUGUCGAGCUCCUCCCAUCUACACGGGGGUCAAGCUCCUGUGGUUCGCCAACAGCUCAGACCGAGAGCGGCUGCGGGCCCUCAGCCCCAUCAGAUUUGAGGGGUCGUCCCUUACCUUGA